Long non-coding RNA from Caretta caretta (loggerhead turtle), 1140 nucleotides. RefSeq lists it as uncharacterized. Lineage: Eukaryota; Metazoa; Chordata; Testudines; Cheloniidae. The record is from RefSeq and is a predicted model, not a curated record.
CAAGAAAAAUAAAAUCCCUUUAAACGAGGAACUCCUCUGAAAAGCAGAUAUUUAGAGUUUGACAAAUAGUACUUGUGUUCUUUGUAGCACUCUGCUGGCAAACUGCUGGGAACUAAUGAAUGGAUGGCUGCUGGGAUGCAGUUCUGAUUUUGGUUGGUGGGAAUGUUACUUGACUUGUUAAUUAUCUACAAGGACCAGGGCUGAGUAGAUGAAGUGCAAAACAGCAGCAGUAUGAUAAGGUGAAAAAAAUAUUUUCCUGCAUCAUGCUAUGACAAAGGCUGAGCACCCAUGCUGUUAUAGUGCCUAGAGAGCCUGCUGUCACGGAGUCCCCGGGCAAUGAUCUGGAACUGCUCCCUACGAAGCCAGUCAGGACUCUGGUGAAGUCUCCUCUCUGUGAACAGACUGUCUCCAGGGCAAACGGCUCACACGGCUUCCACCUUCCUGGUGGUGACUGGGGAAAAAAUGGUGUUGAAAAUAGAAGAUAGUAAAUGAAUGUGACCACUGAUAUGCAAAAGGAUCAGAUACCGACUCUAUAGUAUGCCUAACCAUAAUACAUAUAUACAGAGACAAACUAUUGGUUGAAGGGUCUCAAGAUGAAGAGGUCACAGAAGUGACAUACUGUACUAUCAAUGAUCAACAUGAAGAGGAAUCAAAGAUAGAUAGUUACCUGAUGAACAAUCAAAGUGCUACCACUGAAAGCAAUCUACUAGAGAGGAAAAGGGAUUAAAUAAUCUUUCUUGCUGACUCAGUAGUGAAGACCAAGUCCCAAGGCCACCUGUUCCCCAAAUAAAGAAAACUGGGUGUUAUCCUUCUAGGACAAGAGAUGUGACAAGAAAGGCAGAGAAUACGCUGAAAAUGUUGGGGAAUUUGAACUUAUUGUUAUCCACAUGAGAACCAAAACACAAGAGAAAAGAGAUCUGAUAGACUCAAGGAUAGCUUUAAGGAAAUGGGAAAAGAACAAACACAGGAGUCACUCGGUGGUAGAUACAAAGAGUAGUAGCUAUAAUGAUCAUGAAAGAAAAUCAAAUCAGAAAAACUGGUCUCUGCCAGAAAGAAUCUCUAUCUGCAGAAUCAGAACCUUUCCAGCUAUCGUAUCAGAAUAUUCUUGUAUUGCAUAUAAAAUUCUAUUCCUAUACCUUC